GUCCACGCCGUAAACGAUGGGCACUAGAUCCCUGGGGGAGCGACCCCGUGGGGUCGGCGCUAACGCAUUAAGUGCCCCGCCUGGGGAGUACGGCCGCAAGGCUGAAACUCAAAGGAAUUGACGGGGCCCGCACAAGCGGUGGAGCAUGUGGUUUAAUUCGACGCAACGCGAAGAACCUUACCUGGGCUUGACAUGCACGUGACGCUUUGGGGAAACCUGGGGCUUCCUUCGGGACGCGUGCACAGGUGCUGCAUGGCUGUCGU
RNAcentral lists this ribosomal RNA (263 nucleotides) under uncultured bacterium. RNAcentral's name for it is "partial 16S ribosomal RNA". It matches the Rfam family "Bacterial small subunit ribosomal RNA", at positions 793 to 1055 of the family's 1533-position model. The record is from RNAcentral.